This 481-nucleotide ribosomal RNA is filed under the name uncultured bacterium. RNAcentral's name for it is "bacterial SSU rRNA". It matches the Rfam family "Bacterial small subunit ribosomal RNA", at positions 335 to 800 of the family's 1533-position model. The record is from RNAcentral.
ACUCCUACGGGAGGCAGCAGUGGGGAAUAUUGCACAAUGGGGGUAAAGCCAUCCGAUGCAGCCAUGCCGCGUGUGUGAAGAAGGCCAUUCGGGUUGGUAAAGACACUUUCAGUAGGGAGGAAGGUAGUGUAGUUAACACCUGCAUUAUUUGACGUACCUACAGAAGAAGCACCGGCUAACUCCGUGCCAGCAGCCGCGGUAAUACGGAGGGUGCGAGCGUUAAUCGGAAUUACUGGGCGUAAAGCGCAUGCAGGCGGCCCUGUUAAGUCAGAUGUGAAAGCCCGGGGCUUAACCUCGGAAUUGCAUUUGAAACUGGCAGACUAGAGUACUGUAGAGGGGGGUAGAAUUUCAGGUGUAGCGGUGAAAUGCGUAGAGAUCUGAAGGAAUACCGGUGGCGAAGGCGGCCCCCUGGACAGAUACUGACACUCAGAUGCGAAAGCGUGGGGAGCAAACAGGAUUAGAUACCCUGGUAGGAUAGCGU